UGGGGAAUAUUGCACAAUGGGCGCAAGCCUGAUGCAGCCAUGCCGCGUGUGUGAAGAAGGCCUUCGGGUUGUAAAGCACUUUCAGCGAGGAGGAAGGGUUCAGUGUUAAUAGCACUGUUCAUUGACGUUACUCGCAGAAGAAGCACCGGCUAACUCCGUGCCAGCAGCCGCGGUAUACGGAGGUGCAAGCGUUAAUCGGAAUUACUGGGCGUAAAGCGCACGCAGGCGGUUUGUUAAGUCAGAUGUGAAAUCCCCGCGCUUAACGUGGGAACUGCAUUUGAAACUGGCAAGCUAGAGUCUUGUAGAGGGGGGUAGAAUUCCAGGUGUAGCGGUGAAAUGCGUAGAGNUCUGGAGGAAUACCGGUGGCGAAGGCGGCCCCCUGGACAAAGACUGACGCUCAGGUGCGAAAGCGUGGGGAGCAAACAGGAUUAGAUACCCUGGUAGUCCACGCUGUAAACGAUGUCGACUUGGAGGUUGUGCCCUUGAGGCGUGGCUUCCGGAGCUAACGCGUUAAGUCGACCGCCUGGGGGAGUACGGCCGCAAGGUUAAAAC
This 552-nucleotide ribosomal RNA is filed under the name uncultured bacterium. RNAcentral's name for it is "partial 16S ribosomal RNA". It matches the Rfam family "Bacterial small subunit ribosomal RNA", at positions 355 to 900 of the family's 1533-position model. The record is from RNAcentral.